GCGCCUGUAGCUCAGUCGGAUAGAGCACCUGCCUUCUAAGCAGGUUGUCGCUGGUUCGAUUCCAGCCAGGCGCA
RNAcentral lists this transfer RNA (74 nucleotides) under Actinomycetota bacterium. RNAcentral's name for it is "Actinobacteria bacterium tRNA-Arg". It matches the Rfam family "tRNA". From Rfam's summary of the family: Transfer RNA (tRNA) molecules are approximately 80 nucleotides in length. Lineage: Bacteria; Bacillati; Actinomycetota. The record is from RNAcentral.